RNAcentral lists this ribosomal RNA (400 nucleotides) under uncultured bacterium. RNAcentral's name for it is "bacterial SSU rRNA". It matches the Rfam family "Bacterial small subunit ribosomal RNA", at positions 30 to 432 of the family's 1533-position model. The record is from RNAcentral.
AUUGAACGCUGGCGGCAUGCCUUACACAUGCAAGUCGAACGGCAGCACGGGAGCAAUCCUGGUGGCGAGUGGCGAACGGGUGAGUAAUAUAUCGGAACGUGCCCAGUCGUGGGGGAUAACGUAGCGAAAGCUACGCUAAUACCGCAUACGAUCUAUGGAUGAAAGCGGGGGAUCGCAAGACCUCGCGCGAUUGGAGCGGCCGAUAUCAGAUUAGGUAGUUGGUGAGGUAAAGGCUCACCAAGCCGACGAUCUGUAGCUGGUCUGAGAGGACGACCAGCCACACUGGGACUGAGACACGGCCCAGACUCUUACGGGAGGCAGCAGUGGGGAAUUUUGGACAAUGGGCGCAAGCCUGAUCCAGCAAUGCCGCGUGCAGGAUGAAGGCCUUCGGUUGUAACUG